GUCCUUUAGAGAUAAUUGAAGGUUUAACCUGCCCACUGAAAAAUUUUAAAUGGCCGCAGUAAGUUGACUGUGCAAAGGUAGCAUAAUCAAUAGUUUUUUAAUUGAAAGCUUGUAUGAAUGGUUGGACGAGAUAAAAUCUGUCUUUAAUUAAUAGAUAAAAUUUAAUAUUUAAGUUAAAAAGCUUAAAUAAUAUUAAAAGACGAGAAGACCCUAUAGAUCUUUAUAAUUGUAUAAUUAUUUGUAUUAAAGAUUAAUUUAUAUUUUAUUUAUAUUAUUAUUAUAUUGGGGUAAUAGAGAGAUUAAAAAAAUUCUUUUUAAAAAUUAACAAUAAUUUUUGAUUUAAUGAUCCAUUUAUUAGUGAUUAAAAGAUUUAGUUACCUUAGGGAUAACAGCGUAAUUUUUUUAGAGAGUUCAUAUCGAUAAAAAAGUUUGCGACCUCGAUGUUGGAUUAAAAAUUAUUCUAGGUGUAGUAGUUUAGAAUUUUGGUCUGUUCGACCAUUAAAUUUUU
Molecule: ribosomal RNA, 508 nt
Filed under: Rhithrodytes bimaculatus
Lineage: Eukaryota; Metazoa; Arthropoda; Insecta; Coleoptera; Dytiscidae
Description: partial 16S ribosomal RNA
Rfam family: Bacterial large subunit ribosomal RNA (bases 385-508)
Source: RNAcentral